RNA transcript from Rhincodon typus (whale shark), 3704 nucleotides. It is a transcript of the gene named methyl-CpG binding domain protein 4, with no coding region annotated. The transcript has 10 exons. The record is from RefSeq and is a predicted model, not a curated record. NCBI's taxonomy places the organism in Eukaryota, Metazoa, Chordata, Chondrichthyes, Orectolobiformes, Rhincodontidae.
UGGGAGGGUAGGGGCUGGCGUCUCCACCUCCGGCUGGCACUCGGACUCAACUUUAACCUGCCCGCCGCACUCCGGCUUUUAACUUCAUCUCCCUGACACCCGCCGCACUGGUCUAUUAUUAUCCUGAAGAGACACGCAAUCAUUGGCAGUUUCUAACUGUCAACAGGCCGGCAGUUUUAACUUGAAUAAGAUGCUGCCAGACUUCAUCCACCACCUUUAAAUUUCACGUCCUCCACCACAACAAUUUGCCAAGAUUGUUUUGAUGGAACCUUCUGAACCUGCACCCAUUGCUACUUUAAAAAAAAAGAUUGUAGGCAGCAAACCACACACCAUCCCAACUUGGAAUCGUAUCACUGUUAUCUCAUUGUUGCUGCAUCAAAAUCUUGGAACUCCAUAACAGCACUGAGGGUCUGCCUACAUCCCAAGGAUUGCAACUGUUCAAGAAGACCACUCACCACCACUUUCAAUGGACAUUUUGGAAUAGAAAUCAAGUACUGACCUUGCCAGUGAUCUCACAUCCCCUGAAUGCUUAAAGAAUAUUCAAAGGAAUGAUGCAGGGAAAAUGAUUAAAAGGAAGUUUUCCUGAUGUAAGUGCCUCCUUCUGGUGGGAUCAGCAAUAAUGAACACUGUUUCCCAAGUGGAACCACCAAAAGAAAAUAUCUUAAACCCUGAAAUGGCAAACACUGAAAACGCAAAGUCUUUGUUGUCUGAAGCUGGGCCUAUCGUUCAUGCUUUGGAUGCUAAAGUAACCCAAGGCUGUUACCCUGAACUUCCUAAAGGAUGGAAGAGAAUAGUGAAAGAAAGAAAAACUGGGAAGUCAGCAGGAAAAUCUGAUGUUUACGUUAUAAGUCCUCAGGGGAAGCAAUUUCGAUCCUCAAACGAACUUAAAAAUUACUUUCAGAGAAGUGCCAGAGAGGAAAAUCUGAAGCCUGAAGACAUUAAUGUUUUCUGGCGAUGCUGUCCUCAGGAAAGGAUUACUGUUGAUAAACAGUCAGAUCAGCUACAGCCCACCACUCCAACAACGCAAGAUUUCAACGCAUUGACUGUCGACCUUCCACAAACUGUGUCACAAGAUGCCAAUAGAGAGGAGAGAUCUGAAACCAAGGGUGGCUGCAGUAAAAGACAGAGGCAGACAGAGGUUAAAAAUGCCUCAAAGCAGAAACCUAAAAAAGGUGCAAGACUGCAAAACUCUAGCAGGCAGUGGUUGUGUUCGAGGAGAGGAUUGUCUGCAAGAGCAGACCAGAAAGAACUUGCUUCAUCUGAAGAAAAGGAGCUGGGUGAUGGGACCCCACUUGAUGGAGGUAAAGAGAGUCCCAAAGCUAAGAGGAAAGCCAGUAGAAGAAAAUCUAAAUAUCAAGCAGCAGACAGCAAAAAGCAGUCUCGAAAGGAGCAGGCAUUUGAAAGCAAGGGGACACUGGAAGUACAAGUAGAAGAAGCUGAUGAGCCUGCCUCUGAAGUAUCAAAGUUUAACAGGCAGAUGGCACUGACGAGCAAUGGAAGAUCUGAAAUAAAACCAAGCACCAGCCCUUCACAUUGCUCAGAAUCAGAAAUUCCCUCUGAAGACACAGGCAGAGACACAAAGGAUUCCAGUGGGGACAGUUUUACAUUGCUGAAAACCCAAGACAAUCAUUCUACUCCAAGAGUAAAGCAGGAUAAAAGGAAGACUAGCCCAUACUUUUCUAAGAAGUAUUCUGAAGGAGCAUCCAGCCCACCACGACGUAAAGCCUUUGCCAAAUGGAUUCCUCCUCGAUCCCCAUUCAAACUGGUCCAGGAGACUCUCUUUCAUGAUCCUUGGAAACUUCUUAUUGCAACCAUACUUCUUAAUAAAACCUCUGGUAAAAAGGCCAUUCCUGUGUUGUGGGAUUUCCUGGAAAGAUACCCUUCUGCGGAGGUGGCCCGAGUAGCUGAUUGGAAAGAAAUAGCUGCACUUCUGAAACCACUUGGCCUGUAUGAGCUGAGAGCAAAAGCUAUCAUCAAGUUUUCUGACGAGUUCCUAACCAAACAGUGGAAAUACCCAAUUGAACUGCAUGGCAUCGGGAAGUAUGGGAAUGAUUCCUACAGGAUUUUCUGUGUCAAAGAAUGGAAGGAGCAGCCCUGUUGAAAACGUGGGUGUUGAUGGAUUAAGAAGAGGGGCUAAAAAGCCUGACAGCACUCCAGGUAGAGAAAUCGCCAGGCCUGGAUGGAAUGCGUCCUACACUGCUAAGAGAGGUGCAGCCACGAGAUCACAAACUCAACAAGUACUGGGAGUGGCUUUGGGCAAAUCAGGAGACAUUGGGUCUGUCCUAAAUCCACACAACGCUGGUGAUUCUUCACAAAGUGUAUCAGUUGAAAUUCUUUGCAUGCUGAUAACUCUCAGAGGUAUGAUUGAUGCACAGGCUAGAUGUGUGCAUUCUGUUUAUAAUAGAAAUGCAGACCCAGCAAUUAGCUCCCUGCAGUGGUGGAUAAAGAUUUGCAAGGAGCAUUGUAAAUCAUGGCAAGCCGAGUGGCAGUAGUUUUCAUUGGGCUCAGGUUAGCUGAUCUUCAUCAUGUGCUACAAUUAGUCUCAUUACUCCUUCCAACAAAAGUGAGGGUGGGAAUCAGGGAUGAAAGACAUCACACGGAUUCCUGCUUCUCACCACUAUCUUAAAAGAAAUCGGACAUUAAAUUAAAACAAGACUGUAGAUCUGAUUUUAAACCAGAAUUAUAUUAGCCACACUUUCUGGCCAUGUUGCUGUUAAUUUUGUUCUCAGAGGUAAUGUCCCUGAAGUAUGACAUUGAAAUUGAUAUAGUCACAUGUAGUACAAUCCCUGAUUGUGCAACACAUAUGCCUCAUUGCACAGGGUGUUGAACUCUUACCAUGUGGGCAGUAUAGUUCAUCCAUUAUAUAUUAGAUCAAUUAACCUAAGCAGCUUUUACACAAGUUCCAAACCAUUGUACUUGGCAACACAAACUUAAUAUUCUUUGCUCGCACUGGAACAUUUGACAAUCUUUUUGCUCUGUAGAUCAGCGAAGUGAGCAUGUGUUUAACAGUUACCACUCCUAAAAUUGUCUCAAUCAAUUUUACAGCUUUACAGUAGCAAUAAGCUGCUACUAUAACUAAUGUAAUUGAUUAUUAUAAGAUAAUGUUGAGCCAGUAGUCAUAAUUUGCGAUAUACUGCAGAGGAAAUAUAAUGAGAAACUAAUAAGAAGCCAUAUGCAAAGGGAGAAAUAUAUUUACCUCUCCUAUAAUAUGGUGUGUUGCUCUGUUGAUCAGUGUUUGCAACACUAGAGAAACUCUAUCUUCUUUCUCCCUUGCAUGUUGUGGAAUUAAUAUGAUCCCUGCUCCCCACUAUAUUUCCUCUCUCAAAGUUAAGGAAUUACAACAGCAUGUUGUAAUAUCCUGCUUCAUGUGCAGUAUAGUACACGCUGGCUGUCUCUUCCACUGGAACAUUUUGUCUUAAUCUACUUUCUCUCACUUCUUCUGGGAUUUCCCUCAUGGGACAGUGUUGCUUUUCAGUGCCAUUUUUACGUCUUCAGGAAAGUUUGGACUGUUGGCCUGUGAGAACUGGAACAAAUGCUGGACUCUCAUCACUGUUUGCAAAACUGGAGACGUUAUUUUCGUCAUAUUGAGAUAUAACAACAUGAAUUAGGUUUUAGAAAUUGAGUACUUACAUUAGAUUUCUCAUGGAAUUGAAUUUUUUAUUUUUCAUAUUGUUUCAAGUUAAAUAAAAGUCUAAAAAUACAAA